Molecule: ribosomal RNA, 254 nt
Filed under: uncultured bacterium
Lineage: Bacteria
Description: partial 16S ribosomal RNA
Rfam family: Bacterial small subunit ribosomal RNA
Source: RNAcentral
UACAGGGGGUGCAAACGUUGCUCGGAAUCAUUGGGCGUAAAGCGCACGUAGGCGGUUCGUUAUGUCGGAUGUGAAAGCCCUUGGCUUAACCGAGGAAGUGCAUCCGAAACUGGCGAGCUAGAGUACUAAAGAGGAUCGCGGAAUUCCCGGUGUAGAGGUGAAAUUCGUAGAUAUCGGGGAGGAACACCGGUGGCGAAGGCGGCGAUCUGGGUAGAUACUGACGCUGAGGUGCGAAAGCGUGGGGAGCAAACAGG